RNAcentral lists this ribosomal RNA (435 nucleotides) under uncultured bacterium. Its description in RNAcentral is "partial 16S ribosomal RNA". It matches the Rfam family "Bacterial small subunit ribosomal RNA", at positions 29 to 507 of the family's 1533-position model. The record is from RNAcentral.
AACGAACGCUGGCGGCAGGCUUAACACAUGCAAGUCGAACGCGUGCAGCAAUGCACGAGUGGCGCACGGGUGAGUAACGCGUGGAUAUCUGCCUUUUGGCUCGGAAUAACCCCGGGAAACUGGGGCUAAUACCGGAUGGUUCCUACGGGAUAAAGAUUUAUCGCCAAAAGAUGAGUCCGCGUCCGAUUAGCUAGUUGGUGAGGUAAUGGCUCACCAAGGCGACGAUCGGUAGCUGGUCUGAGAGGACGAUCAGCCACACUGGGACUGAGACACGGCCCAGACUCCUACGGGAGGCAGCAGUGGGGAAUAUUGGACAAUGGGGGCAACCCUGAUCCAGCCAUGCCGCGUGAGUGAUGAAGGCCUUCGGGUUGUAAAGCUCUUUUGGCGGGGACGAUGAUGACGGUACCCGCAGAAUAAGCCCCGGCUAACUUCGUG